AGAGGACUCUGCAUUAAGAAGGCAUGGACUAUACCUCCUUUUUUAUCAGUGGCUUGACUUUGGAUUUGUGAAAAGGAAGGCUUCACCAAGAUGGCGGCUUUCAAGAAUGCAUAGGAGUUUAUCCAGAAGGAAGAAGGAGGCAUCCUACAGAAUGUGGGGCAGGAGCCCAGACAUGAAGGGCAUACUUUGGGAAUGUCCAGUUCUCCAUUGUGAUAAGAGCAUUGGUGCAUAGACAGGCUGGAGUAGAUGGUAAGGUGAGCCAGAACUACUAAAAGAAUCUUCUGAGUAAUACAGUGGAGUUUGGAUUGUAAGCUCCUUAGACAGGAACUGUGACAUUCCCCCCUUCCCCCACUCCCUGGCAUCCAAUACAAAGCCUGACCCACAGUAGGUGCCCAAUGAAUGUUUUCUGAAUGAAUGAGAGCUUUCUUGGAGCGAUGAGGAACCAUCACAGUUUUUAAGCAGAGCCAUAAUGUUACUUCUUUGGGAAAGACAAUUUUGUACUGAAAAAAAGAUGAUAUUGGGCAAACCAAAAACAGAGGAAGAAUUAGGAGGCUGUUAGGCAAAGGAUGACAUAAAAUAGGAUAGUGACAGUGGGAACUGAGAUUGGAAGAUCUACUUGAGACUUUUGAAUGAGGUUGGAAUGACCAUAGGAGAUAAAGCAGAGGGAUGAGUCCAAAACAGCCCUGAGAUUUCUUGCUGGGGAAACCAGGUAGAUGAUGCAGCCACUGAAUGAGAAAGAAAAUUAGGGAAAAGGGUCAGAUUGUCAAACUGGGGUAAUAAACGCAAUUUUGUGUAUAUUGAGUUUGAGAGACCUGAGAAUGACAUUUUUAUUUUUAAUUUUUUACUUUUUUGUCUUUUUAGGGCCACACCAGCAUAUGGAAUUUCCUGGGCUAGGGGAUCAAAUUGAAGCUGUAGCUGCUGGCCUAUGCAACAGCCACAGCAAUGCCAGAUCCAAGCCACAUCUGGGACCUACACCACAGCUCAUGGCAAGGCUGAAUCCUUAACCCACUGAGCGGGGCCAGGGAUUGAACCCCCAUCCUCAUGGAUACUAGCCAGGUUCAUUACCACUGAGCCACAAUGGGAACUCCUGAGAAUAAUGUUUACAAAUUGUGGAUCUUAAACCACUCAUGGCUUAUGAGUUGAUACAAAUAUUUUUAAAUGAUCCAUUUUAAAGUGUAAUAUAUAUGUUAAG
RNAcentral lists this long non-coding RNA (1192 nucleotides) under Sus scrofa (pig). RNAcentral's name for it is "lncRNA (ENSSSCG00000061697.1)". The record is from RNAcentral. Lineage: Eukaryota; Metazoa; Chordata; Mammalia; Artiodactyla; Suidae.